GACGAACGCUGGCGGCGUGCUUAACACAUGCAAGUCGAACGAAAAGAGGGAAAGAGCUUGCUCUUUCCGGAAUUGAGUGGCAAACGGGUGAGUAACACGUAAACAACCUGCCUUCAGGAUGGGGACAACAGACGGAAACGACUGCUAAUACCGAAUAAGUUCCAAGGGCCGCAUGGCCCAUGGAAGAAAAGGUGGCCUCUACCUGUAAGCUAUCGCCUGAAGAGGGGUUUGCGUCUGAUUAGCUGGUUGGAGGGGUAACGGCCCACCAAGGCGACGAUCAGUAGCCGGUCUGAGAGGAUGAACGGCCACACUGGAAUUGAGACACGGUCCAGACUCCUACGGGAGGCAGCAGUGGGGAAUCUUCCGCAAUGGGCGAAAGCCUGACGGAGCAACGCCGCGUGAGUGAUGACGGCCUUCGGGUUGUAAAACUCUGUGAUCCGGGACGAAAAGGCAGAGUGCGAAGAACAAACUGAAUUGACGGUACCGGAAAAGCAAGCCACGGCUAACUACGUG
This 513-nucleotide ribosomal RNA is filed under the name uncultured bacterium. RNAcentral describes it as "partial 16S ribosomal RNA". It matches the Rfam family "Bacterial small subunit ribosomal RNA", at positions 28 to 507 of the family's 1533-position model. The record is from RNAcentral.